Molecule: ribosomal RNA, 641 nt
Filed under: uncultured archaeon
Lineage: Archaea
Description: bacterial SSU rRNA
Rfam family: Archaeal small subunit ribosomal RNA
Source: RNAcentral
CAGACGGCUCAGUAACACGUACAUAAUUUGCCCUUAGGUGGAGGAUACCCUCGGGAAACUGAGAAUAAUACUCCAUAGAUCUAGACUGCUGGAAUGCUUUUAGAUCGAAAGAUUUAUCGCCUAAGGAUAAGUCUGCGGACUAUCAGGUUGUAGUUAGGGUAAAUACCUGACUAGCCUACGACGGAUACGGGUAGUGAGAGCUUUAGCCCGGAGAUGAUAUCUGAGACACGAUAUCAGGCCCUACGGGGCGCAGCAGGCGCGAAAACUUCGCACUGUGCGAAAGCACGACGAGGGAAUCCCAAGUGCUGGCUCGUAAGAGUCAGCUGUUUCUCUGUCUAAAAAACAGGGAGAGUAAGAGCUGGGUAAGACGGGUGCCAGCCGCCGCGGUAAUACCUGCAGCUCAAGUAGUGGCCGCUAUUAUUGGGCCUAAAACGUCCGUAGCCGGUUCUAUAAAUGCCUGGGUAAAUCGUACGGCUUAACCGCACGAAUUCCGGGUAGACUGUUCAACUUGGGACCGGGAGAGGCUAGAGGUACUCCUGGGGUAGAGGUGAAAUUCUGUAAUCCUAGGGGGACCACCAGUGGCGAAGGCGUCUAGCUAGAACGGGUCUGACGGUGAGGGACGAAGCCCUGGGGAGCAAACG